CCUACGGGAGGCAGCCGUGGGGAAUAUUGCACAAUGGGGGAAACCCUGAUGCAGCAACGCCGCGUGAAGGAAGACGGUUUUCGGAUUGUAAACUUCUAUCCAUAGGGAAGCAAGAAAUGACGGUACCUAAAUAAGAAGCCCCGGCUAACUACGUGCCAGCAGCCGCGGUAAUACGUAGGGGGCAAGCGUUAUACGGAAUUACUGGGGGUAAAGGGAGAGUAGGCGGCAAGGUAAGCGAUAUGUGAAAGCCUUAAGCUUAACUUAAGGAUGGCAUAACGAACUAUCUAGCUAGAGUACAGGAGAGGAAAGCGGAAUUCCGAGUGUAGCGGUGAAAGGCGUAGAUAUUAGGAAGAACACCAGUGGCGAAGGCGGCUUUCUGGACUGAAACUGACGCUGAGGCUCGAAAGCGUGGGGAGCGAACAGGAUUAGAUACCCGAGUAGUC
Molecule: ribosomal RNA, 443 nt
Filed under: uncultured bacterium
Lineage: Bacteria
Description: partial 16S ribosomal RNA
Rfam family: Bacterial small subunit ribosomal RNA
Source: RNAcentral